ACCUCGGUUGGCCGCGUGGGUCAGAGUGUCGGUCUCCUGAUCAGCCGCCGUGCGCUGUGCGGGUUCGAGUCCCGUCCCAGGAG
This is a non-coding RNA of Acanthoscelides obtectus, 83 nucleotides long. The record is from the annotation of a GenBank genome assembly. Lineage: Eukaryota; Metazoa; Arthropoda; Insecta; Coleoptera; Chrysomelidae.